GCGCCAGUGGUCUAAAGGUAUGACGCUGGCUUCCCAAGCCAGCAAUGCGGGUUCGAUUCCCGCCUGGCGCA
Molecule: transfer RNA, 71 nt
Filed under: bacterium
Lineage: Bacteria
Description: tRNA-Gly
Rfam family: tRNA
About the family: Transfer RNA (tRNA) molecules are approximately 80 nucleotides in length.
Source: RNAcentral